Molecule: long non-coding RNA, 4040 nt
Organism: Equus asinus (donkey)
Lineage: Eukaryota; Metazoa; Chordata; Mammalia; Perissodactyla; Equidae
Source: Ensembl
GUUUAAAAUCACCGUUGAGAUGUUCUCUCCAGAGCGUCAUUUGUGCAAUGAAUGGAGGUGCUAGAGACCCGGUGGGGAUGAUUUCUGACAGUGACCAUGUAACUGUCGUGUAGUGCAAACAUUAAGGUGUUAUCAAAAGGGACCGUGUCUUUGAGCACUUGAUUUUACUGAAGAUACAGACAGUGCUUUUGACCAUCUUUGGUUGUAGACCAGAUGCCCAACUCAGAGGCCCCACCACCUGCCCUCCGCCCACAGAGACGAGAGCCAGUCCUGGACAAGGUGGUGAUGCCAGGCGGCCACUGAGUGACGUGCUCCAUGGCUCGAGGGCUGGAACGGAGCCAGAGGUGAAGCACCUUGGGUCCCCCCAAGUAUCUGUGCUCCUAGAGGAUCUUUUCUCCUCAAAAGUGGAAUCAUACGGCCCAGCUUUGGAAUUGCUGGGAGAAUAUGAAGGAGAAUGACCCUUGCUUUGCCAAAUGUAGCUUUAAAAUUAGGAUUCAGAGAACCAUCAUCUAAUUUCCUCAGCAAUCUCUUUUAGGGUCUUUGCUUCUUCCCUGGAGCCAGAGGCUGAGCUACUGUCCUGGUGUCACCUAGGGAGAUGAGACUCGCCACAUACUGCCCACCUCCAGAACAGCGAGGGCAGAGGCCAAAGCCCUCCUGGGGACGCCCUGACUCCUGAGCUUCACACGGCUAAGUCCACAAAUGGUUCUUCUGGAUGGUUCCAGAGCUGUAGGAAAAUCUCCCCUAGAAGCUCAAAGGUGACUGGGCUCAGGCUCAGAGGUGGCCUUCUAGGUGCAAGGGAGGGACUGUGUGGCCACCCCACUGACUUGCCCAGGGACAUGGUCAGCCUGCGAUCAGAGCUGGUGCAGCUUGCCUGCUCGGUCAGCAGCGUGAUGGCCAUGGUGUAGAGGCGGUAGCCCAGCAUGAGAAGGAGGGUGCAGGGCAGGGGCCUGAUGCAGGACAGAGGCCACAAAGAAGGCCAGCAGGAGUGACAGCAGUGUCUGAUAGCUGCCCAGGAAGCAUAGGCUGAGCCUGGGGUGCCAGCCAUAACCAGCCGUGUGCCCCCACCACACAUGGUGCAGCAGGUGCCUGUCUGGCAGCCUGGGCUCCGUGAGGUGGUAGUGACAGAAGCUGCUGAAGAAGUCAGCCCAGGAAUACAGGGCAGCCAUCUGGCCUGCAAACUAGAGCACCGACAGAGACAUGGGAGAGUGGGCAUGGGUGGGGUCUGCACUUUCCACCUGGCCUCUCCCAUAGGCUGGCAGGACAGGAAGCCAGCAUGGAGACGAGGGUGCGGCUCUCCCGCCCACACUCAUCCUGUGGUUGAUGGCGGAAGACAGCCGGAUCAGGCCAGCAAUCUCAUAGCUCUGGAUGGGCUACAGCUCUGCACUGCCCUGGUACUUGAUGUCAAACUUGCGCAGCCUGUUGAUGAUCUAGAAGCAGCAGGAGAGGUGAACGCCAGGUGAAACAUGGGUCAUGGGCGCAAUCCAGAAAAUACACCUUUGCUAAUGACUCAGAGGAGAUGUGUCUGUUACAGGGGUGAUGGGGGAGACGAGGACAGGCUGGCAGGACCAACGGCCAUGCUGCCUGGAAAGCCAGACAUCUCCGGGAUGUAGACCUUACCUGGUACUGGCCCAGGGGUGUGAGGAUGAGUCCGUCCUCACUGGCAGUGCAGUCUGGGAGCUGCUUUUUCCCAUUCUCCCCAAGGCAAGUGUGAGCCUCUGCCACUGCAAGACCAAGCCACACGCACAGGGGCUGAGAAAGGCUCCCCAGACCCCAGGGGAGAAGCUCCCCUGACCCCCGACUACCCAUGCGCUGGCCAGGAACAGGCAGCAAGUCUGCUCUGGAAACAGGAGGGCAGUGCAGGGGCUGUGCAACAUGAGAGGCCAAGUGCAGGAAGGUGUCAGACCCCACCUACCACAAAAACGGCUGCCUGCUGACGCACUGGAGGAAAUGGAGGGCAGUGUGAGCCCCAGAGUGGGCUGGGUCUGCUGGGGGCCACCUCAGCAGGAAAGCAGGAGGCACUGUAAUGGUAGAGGGGACAGACCCAGAUGUGACUCCCAGAGGCAUCGUGGCUCUCCCCGCCCCGGAGCACAAGCACCACAACCUCAUCUGCUCCUGUGGCCAGGGAGGGGGCUCUGGAAGUAGCACAGGGAGGACCCCAGAAAGGACAGGCCUCCAGCCCUCAGGGUCCAAGUCCGGCACAGAACAAAACCCACCUGCUGUUCAGCAACUGAGUGAGGGGUGAAGCUGGGUUUCUGCUUCCCACCAUCCAGCCCUUGGACACUAGCUGCGAUCGAGGACAAGGAGCAGCCGGUUGACCAGGCACACCAGGGCCAGAGCAGGAGAGGGGAAGACAGCUUGCGGCAACAUCCUUGGUGUGAGGGGACGGCAUUUUUGGGUACACGUCUAAGGAAUAAUGAUGAAGGCACAGUUCAACAAAAACCUGCAAAGAGCAUUAGCUGGUCAAAUGAUUUUUGACAAGGGUGUCAACACCAUUCAAUGGGGAAAGGACGGUCUUUACAACAAAUGCUGCCAGGAAACCAGGAUGUCCACAUGCAAAUUAAUGAAGCCGGACCCUUACUCAAAAAAAAAAACUCAAAGUGGACCAAAGACUUAAAUGUAAGAGCUGAAACUAUAAAACUCUUACAAGAAAGCAUGAGGAGAGAGCUUCAUGACACUGAAUUUGGCAAUGAUCUCUUAGAUAUGACUCCAAAACACAUGCAACAAAGGAAAAAAAACAGACAAAUUGGACUUCAGGAAAAUUAAAAACUUUGUGCAUCAAAAGACACUAUCAACAGAAUAAAAAGGCAACCCACAGAAUGGAGGAAAAUAUUUGCAAAUUAUGUGUCUUAUAAGGGAUUAAUAUCCAGAAUAUGUAGAGAACUCCUAAAACUAGGCGAUAAAAAAAACAACAACCCAAUUCAAAAAUGGGCAAAGGAUUUGAAUAGACAUUUCUCCAAAGAAGACAAACAAACAGCCAAUAAGGACCUGAGAAGAUGUUCAAUACUAGUAAUCAUUACAACAAUGCUAACCGAAAUCAAAAUGAGAUACCAACUCACAUCCAUGAGGAUGGCUGUAAUCAGAAAACAGAAAAUAAAGAGCAUUGGUGAGGCUAUAGAGAAACUGAACCCUUGUGCAUUAAUGGAAAGAAUGUAAAAUGGUGCAGUCACUGUGGAAAGCAGUAUCACAGUUCCUGAAAAAAUUAAACAGAAUUACCAGAUGGUCCAGUAAUUCCACUUCUGGGUAUAUACCUCGCAGAAAUUGAAAGUAGCAUCUGGAAGAGAUAUUUGCGCAUCCAUGUUCAUAGCAGCAUUAUUUUCAAUAGUCAAGAGGUGGAAGCAACCCAAGUGUCCAUCGACAGAUGAAUGGAUAAACAAAAUGUGGUAUAUCCAUACAAUGGAAUAUUAUUUGGCCUUAAAAAGGAAAGAAAUUUUGACUCAUGCUACAGUGUAGAUGAACCUUGAAGACACUAUGCUAAGUGAAAUAAGUCAGUCAUAAAAAGACAAAUACUGUGUAAUUCCACUCAUCUAGGCUCCUAGCAUAGUCAGAUUCACAGAGACAGAAAGUAGAACGGUGGUUGCCAGGGGUUGGGAGGAGGGGGAAAUGAGGAAUUGCUGUUUAAUGGGUAGAGUUUCAGAUUUACAAGAUAAAAACGUUCUGGAGAUCCAUUACAACGUGAAUAUACUCAAUACUACUGAACCGUAUACUUUAAAAUGGUUAAGAUGUAAAUUUUAUGUUAUGUGUAUUUUACCAUAAUUCCAAAAGAUUUUUAAUUAAAAAAAAAGGGGCAGCCCUGUGGGGCGUGGUCUGCUUUGGUGGCUAGGGGUUCACUGGUUUAGAUCCUGGGUGCAGACUGCUUAUUAAGCCAUGCUGUGGCAGCAUCCCUUGCAGAAGAACUAGAAUGACUUACAAUUAUGUACUGGGGCUUUGGGGAGGAAAAAAAAGAGGACUGGCAACAGAUGUUAGCUCAGGGCCAAUCUUCCUCACCAAAGAAAAAAAAGAGCAUUAGCGUUUCAGUCCAGGAAACAACCCUCCAGUUCCUC